Non-coding RNA from Schistocerca cancellata (South American locust), 71 nucleotides. The record is from the annotation of a RefSeq genome assembly. NCBI's taxonomy places the organism in Eukaryota, Metazoa, Arthropoda, Insecta, Orthoptera, Acrididae.
GCAGUCGUGGCCGAGUGGUUAAGGCGUCUGACUCGAACUCUGGAGCGUAGGUUCGAAUCCUACCGGCUGCG